CCUUACAGUUAUAAACAAAAACACAAUAUAUAAAAUACUUAUAUUGUAAAAUUAUGGCAAAAGCCAAAAAGAAACAAAAUAACAAUAAUAAAAUGUUUAUUAUUGUAUAUCGCCUCCUAGGCAAAAAGUAUAUAUACAAUACUUCUUAUAUUGUAAAAUUAUGGCAAAAAGAAACAAAAUAACAAUAAUAAAAUGUUUAUUAUUGUAUCGCCUCCUAGGCAAAAAAGUAUAUAUAAAAUACUUAUAUUGUAAAAUUAUGGCAAAUGGCAAAAAGAAACAAAAUAAAUUUGAAAUACAUAAAAUUAUAGUUGUACUUGUAUAAAAUUGAAAAGUAAUUUUAUAUAAGUCAAUCAUUGUUCUUUUUUUAAGAACUUGAGACAUUCGCAACAAAAAUUUUAUGUUUUAAUUAUAAAAGAGAAUAAUAAUAAGCAAAAAUUAUUGAAGGAAUUGAUAUAUGCCAAUUNGAAAAUUUUUGGUGUAUUUUUGAUUUCUUUC
Molecule: ribosomal RNA, 495 nt
Filed under: Belvosia sp. Woodley04C
Lineage: Eukaryota; Metazoa; Arthropoda; Insecta; Diptera; Tachinidae
Description: partial ribosomal RNA
Source: RNAcentral